CCCUACUGCUGGUACACCCUCACUGACCUUUCUGCAGAUGUCAAACAAAAAAAGGCAUGAAGCCAGGGAAGAGAAGAGGCAGGAGGAUCAUCAGGCGGCGGGCAGGCAGGCACUACUCAUCCUGUCCCAGUUUCGCAGUUUUCUCAGAUGUCAUGUGACAGGGCGAAGGGACGAGGAACCGUGAAAACGGAGAGAAUUGCUUCCCCAAAACCCCUUGCUGCUGGAUGUGUCCAUGGCAAGAAACAGGCAGGUGCAUUCAAAUGAUGUCUCAUUUAAUCUGCGUCUGAGACUCCCAGAAAGGAGGGGGAGCUGUGUUUGUCUGUGCUGCUGCGAUUCUUGGCGUGUGAGACAACCCCAGGAAACAGUCAUGACCAUGCGACCCUUCAGGCAGCCAAGCACUGAGAGAUUUUUGGGAUGGGGCGGCCUUGAGGUGCACGUGUUGGAGUCACAUGGGUGGAGCCUGGGGCGGGGAGACCAAUGACGAGAACCGUUCAUGUUCACCUUUGGUGUUCGACUCAGCUUGUUCUCUGGACGGAGGCCUCAGACAAAAGAAUGCCGAAACAUAUGGGCGCA
Long non-coding RNA from Engraulis encrasicolus (European anchovy), 573 nucleotides. RefSeq lists it as uncharacterized. The record is from RefSeq and is a predicted model, not a curated record. NCBI's taxonomy places the organism in Eukaryota, Metazoa, Chordata, Actinopteri, Clupeiformes, Engraulidae. The transcript has 3 exons.